Long non-coding RNA from Vespa crabro (European hornet), 2252 nucleotides. RefSeq lists it as uncharacterized. Lineage: Eukaryota; Metazoa; Arthropoda; Insecta; Hymenoptera; Vespidae. The record is from RefSeq and is a predicted model, not a curated record. The transcript has 5 exons.
UUUAGCCAUGUUGGACGUUAUAGCAAGUUUACGUGGUAUUUCGUCGCUUCGCAUAAUUACAGAUAAUUAGUAGACUUUUUCUAACGUACACUCUCUUCCAAUUUAUCUAUCGAUAACAGCGUGAUUUUUACGGGACCGCGUUCGCAAGUCGGCACGUACUUUUGCGUAUUCUAUUUUCUUGCUUUAUUUUCAUAACAUUUUUUUUCUCUGACAUUGAUGCUUUUACACUACCUCCUAUUCAAUAAUUUUGUGUUUAUAAUUUUGAUCGAUCGAUAUCUUGUAUUACAUUGAAUAUUCAUAUAUACUUAUAUUUAUGCUUGUAUAUAUAAUGUAUGAAGUAGAAGCAGUGUUUAUUCGUAAUACGUUUGAUUUAUUUUUAUAUCUCAAAAUUAUCUGAUUAAAUAAAAUUAAAUUCAAUAUAAAUAAGCGAUGUAGAGUUUAUGCUAGUUCAUAUUCUUCAUGAUCCUGGGGGAGGAUGUUCAUCGUGCAAAAGAUCAACAAAGUGUACUCUAAAUAAUCAAUGCAAUCAUGCGGGUGAUAAUGAAUCGAGUGUUGUACCGUUUAAAUAAUAUAACAAUCAUGAAUUAGAAGGAUCCUUCGUUGGUUACUUUAAUUUCGCCCACGUUUAGCGAUUUAAGUUUUAGUAUCAUAUGCACUUAAAUCGACUGCGAGCAAAGCAGUCAUAGAGUUAUGAUUUGUUCUUAUAAAGUUUAAAAUUAUUUUUCUUUUUAUAUUGUUACACUAUUCGCGUAAUAGAGUCAGUGCAUCGAAGAAAAUGAUCAAAAAAUAAAUACAUUUUCUUCUAUAAAAGCAUAUUGAAAGCUCAUCGUGCAACAAAGUCUAGAAUAAUCAAUGCAAUCAUGCGGGUGAUAAUGAAUCGAGUAUAGUACCGUUUAAGUAAUAUAACAAUCAUGAUUUAGAAGGAUUCUUCGUUCGUUACUUUAAUUUCGUCCACGUUUAACGAUUUAGUAUCAUAUGCAGUUAAAUCGACUGCGAGCAAAGCAGUCAGUCAUAGAGUUAUGAUUUGUUCCUAUAAAGUCUAAAAUUACUUUUCUUUUUAUACUGUAUUACACUAUUCGCUUAGUAGAGUCAGUGCAUCGAAGAAAAUGAUCAAAAAAUAAAUACAUUUUCUUCCAUAAAAGCAUAUUGAAAUGAUGAAGUACCUAGUGUUCGAUAAUGUGUCGAGCAAAGGACCUACCCUUCAAAUAUCAAUGCAACACUCAUGGAUCCACACGGUCACCAGGACAAAGGACCAAACAUGAGAUUGCUUCAACAUUUCGAACGAACUAUCCAGACAUACCCACGAUCAAUAAGAAUAUUGCUUUCCCUUUCCAUGUACCUUUUACUUAAAUUCCUCUUUUUUCAUUUUCCUUUCCUAAUUUGUUAAUGCCUUCUUGGAUAGUUCGAGAGAAAUAUAAAGACGGUGGUAUCCAAGCAUUCGCAUUCAUCAGCAGGACAACCGACUCUUACGAGUAUUACUGGCUACGCCUUUAACGGAGGUAACCGGCACGAUGGAAAUCGUUACUACAUCCAUAAUUGUAUCAUACUUCAACAAAUAUACUGUGAUAACUUCAAUUCAUGAUAAAAUUCAUUAACGUGCAUUUAUCUCACGAGUUCCACGGGAUCUUUCAAAAAAAUUCCCGUUCUCCCAUUAAUUCGCGAGAACCGGAUCCGCGAACCUGGUCCGGUGCAGGACGCGUACCUGAAAAUGCUCUCGUACGACGCAACCUCGUUAAAUAGAGAUUCUGCUUCAUUUUAUCUAAAAGGAAACGUACGAAUCUUAUACGUAAUUUAAUUUUUUAAUGCUCGAAUAAGUAAAUAAUUUCUUGAAAGAUCUAUACAAAUUUGAACCAAAGAUAGUAAUAAUAGUAGUCAUAAAAUAUUAAAUAAUAGAAAAAAAUAAUCCUGGUAUGUAUAUUAAAUUUGUCUAAUUAAUAAUAUUGUAUUAAUGAUAUUGAUCUUUAAUUUAGGGUAUAUAAGCGCCUGCACAACGGAUCUCAGGGGUUGUAUUUUUUUUCCGACAGUUAUUUUCGGUUAUUUUUUUCGAAAGUUAUUCUCGACAGUUAUUGUAAAGUAUUAAUAAAUUAAUAUUGUUAAGUUAAAGUCAGUAUGUUUUAAAUAACCCCGUCGGCUUAACUUCCAACAAAAUUAUUCUCGCGAGUUUCAAGAACUUUCUGCCGGGCAGUCAACAAGUUCAAAGCUAAGAAAAGCUAUCUGUCCAUAAGAAAUGAAUUCUUAACUAUAAGUUAUUC